UUUGAUGAGAGUUUGAUUCUGGCUCAGGAUUAAUGCUGGUGGUAUGCAUAACACAUGCAAGUCGAACGAAAAAGGCCCUCGGGUCUUUUUAGUGGCAAACGGGCGAGUAACGCAUACUUAACUUACUUAUCUGAGGAAAAUAGCAGCUCGAAAGAGCUAUUAAUAAUCCAUAGGUUUAGGCUAGAGGAACUAGCUUAAAUUAAAGGAGGCUGCCGCAAGGUGGCCUUGCGGGUAAAUAGGAGUAUGUCCUAUUAGAUAGUUGGAGAGGUAAAGGCUCACCAAGUCGAUGAUGGGUAGCUGGACUGAGAGGUUGAACAGCCGCAAUGGGAUUGAGAUAUGGCCCAUAUUCCUACGGGAAGCAGCAGUGAGGAAUUUUUCACAAUGGACGAAAGUCUGAUGGAGCAAUACCACGUGAACGAUGAAGGUCUUCUGAUUGUAAAGUUCUUUUAUUUAGGAAAAAAAGCGCGACAGGAAAUGGUCGCGCCCUGAUUGUACUAAUUGAAUAAGUGACAGCUAACUAUGUGCCAGCAGCUGCGGUAAAACAUAGGUCACGAGCAUUAUCCGGAUUUAUUGGGCGUAAAGGAAGCGUAGGCUGAAGUGUGUAUCCAUUGUUAAAAGUACUUGCUUAACAAGUGUUCGCGGUGGAGAUUACACUUCUAGAAUUAGUUAGAGGGCACUGGAAUUCAAUGUGUAGUGGUGGAAUACGUAGAUAUAUUGAGGAACACCAGAGGCUAAGGCGAGUGCCUGGGACAUAAUUGACGCUGAGGCUUGAAAGCGUGGGUAGCAAAUGGGAUUAGAUACCCCAGUAGUCCACGCCGUAAACGAUGGGUAUUAGUCAUUUGAAUUUAAGUUGAGUGAUGUAGCUAACGCGUUAAAUACCCCGCCUGGGUAGUAUAUAUGCAAAUAUGAAACUCAAAGAAAUUGACGGGGACCUGAACAAGUGGUGGAGCAUGUUGCUUAAUUCGAUCAUACACGCAAAACCUUACCAAGGCUUGCAAUCUUCUGCAAAGCUAUAGAAAUAUAGUGGAGGCUAUCAGAAUGACAGGUGGUGCAUGGCUGUCGUCAGCUCGUGUCUUGAGAUGUUUGGUUAAGUCCCGUAACGAGCGCAACCCUUCAUAUUAGUUGUUUAGUUCUAAUAUGACUGAAUCGUAAGAUCUAGGAAGGAUGGGGCCAAGUCAAGUCAUCAUGCCCCUUAUGCCUUGGGCUGCAAACGUGCUACAAUGGUAGAUACAAUGUGUUACAAUCUAGCGAUAGUGAGUUAAUCACCUAAAGUCUAUCUCAGUCCGGAUAAAAGGCUGCAAUUCGCCUAUUUGAAGAUGGAAUCACUAGUAAUCCUGUGUCAGCUAUAUCAGGGUGAAUACGUUCCCAGGUCUUGUACACACCGCCCGUCAAACUACGAAAGAAAGUACUAAUUAAAACCGUAUUUAAUUACGUCUAGAUUGGUAAUUUUGAUUGGAGUUAAGUCGUAACAAGGUACCCGUACGAGAACGUGCGGGUGGAUAACUUUUUAU
Ribosomal RNA from Mycoplasma suis str. Illinois, 1511 nucleotides. It matches the Rfam family "Bacterial small subunit ribosomal RNA". Lineage: Bacteria; Bacillati; Mycoplasmatota; Mollicutes; Mycoplasmatales; Mycoplasmataceae. The record is from Rfam.